RNAcentral lists this unclassified non-coding RNA (305 nucleotides) under uncultured fungus. RNAcentral describes it as "partial contains 5.8S ribosomal RNA, internal transcribed spacer 2, and large subunit ribosomal RNA". The record is from RNAcentral. Lineage: Eukaryota; Fungi.
AACGCAUAUUGCGCUCCCUGGUAUUCCGGGGAGCAUGCCUGUUUCAGCAUCAUUUGAACAUCUCAAAAUCAUUUUUUUUUUGAUGAUUUUGGAAGUUGGGCAUUUUGUUGUGAAAAUCUGUCACAACUAGCCUGAAAUUUGAAGGAAAUCAAUGCAAGAAAUGUGUAGAUGCUUUGGUGCGAAAAGACGAAAAGCUUAUUAGUUGACUGUGGUCAAACUUUGCCAACUAGUCUUUUUUGACGGCUGAGGCAAGUCUACCUUCACAAAUUGAUCUGAAAUCAGGUAGGAUUACCCGCUGAACUUAA